CGUGGUCCUGUCAGCUCUGUGGCACCGCUGUGGCAGCCGGAGCUCCUCCAUGGCUCAGCUCCUGCAGCCCUUGCUCUCCCCCAAACCCUCCUGCAGCACAGGUCACCUGAGAUCCUCUCCAGUCCUGACCUCAGUAAUUCUACUUACCAUUAAUUAGAAGUUGUGUUCUUGUAAAAAAAAUCUUGAAAAAUUGACUGCAAUCUUGGGACUACCUGUGCUCAAAGAGGAUUUUGUUCACCUUUCAAACACAAAACAAGAAACCUGAAAGCUGAGAUUGUUUCAAGAGCACCUGGGAAUUCUCACUAUUGCUGCAAAUAUCCAACACCUUUAUAUAUAUGAAUUAAAUUCUAGGAUUCAGGAGUAUCCAUGUAAACCACAGCUUGAUUAUAAACUGAAUGGAACUGCAUCUGUCAUAGACAAUUUUUUGAGAGAAUUACCUGACCUUCCUCUCAGACUAGGCAUUAGUCUAUUUUUUUAUCAUCUUCUCUCUAUUCAGCCAACAACUCAAAUUUUUCAAAACCCUCCAGAUGAAUUUUGUAAACAAUUUAUAUCCUGUUUCUUGUAUAGUCCAGUGGAAGUGUCCCUGCCCAUGGCAGGGGGGUGCAAUGACAUAAACUUUAAGGUCCCUUUCAACCCAAAUAAUUUUAUGAUUGUACGAAUAUGCACUGUAUUACCCCCAAAACCACAGAGGGUAUCUUCCACAAGCACUCACACUCUGAUCACUUUUUAUGUUUUUAUUGCAAACAUAGGUGCAGAAAAUUCGCCCUGGAGAUUUAUGUUCUUUGGAACAUAUUCACUGAAAAAAAUACUCCGCAAAAUUGGGAUGAUACAGUACGUUGGCUAAUUAACAACCAGAAAAACCAUGGAAUAAAAAAUUAAAAACAUAUAUAUACAUAUAUAUAUAUAUAUAUAUAUAAAACUAUAUUAUUGGGGGUUGGAAAUAAGCUUGCCUCUUCUAACCUUAACCACUCUGCUAAUCGUACAAAUAAAACACAUUACUGCAUGAAAGGAACGCGUAGCGUGUUUUCUUAAAUGAGUCUGCAAAAGGCCCUCUAAAACCGGCCGUGUGGACAGGUCAAAGGGUGGAUGUGACACGGAUGAGGACAUGAGGUGGAGGCGACAUUGACUCCAUGAGGGUGCCAAAACUUUGGGAACAACGCCGCGGGCAGAAUUCAGAGCAAGCAGAACGCACAAAGGCGCUUCCCAGGACGGCGGCCCAGCGGGUAGAGCCCAUGGAAAAGGGAUUAUUUCGGGAUAAACAGUCGCUGAGGACACCUGAGGCGCUCCCCUGAGGGAGGCGCGCUGCCUCGCCUUGCCGCUCGGCAGGGGGCGCUCUCCCCGCCCCUCCCUCCCCGGGGCUCCCUC
This 1365-nucleotide long non-coding RNA is filed under the name Taeniopygia guttata (zebra finch). Its description in RNAcentral is "lncRNA (ENSTGUG00000028774.1)". The record is from RNAcentral. Lineage: Eukaryota; Metazoa; Chordata; Aves; Passeriformes; Estrildidae.